Molecule: ribosomal RNA, 1346 nt
Filed under: uncultured bacterium
Lineage: Bacteria
Description: partial 16S ribosomal RNA
Rfam family: Bacterial small subunit ribosomal RNA
Source: RNAcentral
GACGAACGCUGGCGGCGUGCUUAACACAUGCAAGUCGAACGGAAAGGCCCUGCUUUUGUGGGGUGCUCGAGUGGCGAACGGGUGAGUAACACGUGAGUAACCUGCCCUUGACUUUGGGAUAACUUCAGGAAACUGGGGCUAAUACCGGAUAGGAGCUCCUGCUGCAUGGUGGGGGUUGGAAAGUUUCGGCGGUUGGGGAUGGACUCGCGGCUUAUCAGCUUGUUGGUGGGGUAGUGGCUUACCAAGGCUUUGACGGGUAGCCGGCCUGAGAGGGUGACCGGCCACAUUGGGACUGAGAUACGGCCCAGACUCCUACGGGAGGCAGCAGUGGGGAAUAUUGCACAAUGGGCGGAAGCCUGAUGCAGCAACGCCGCGUGCGGGAUGACGGCCUUCGGGUUGUAAACCGCUUUCGCCUGUGACGAAGCGUGAGUGACGGUAAUGGGUAAAGAAGCACCGGCUAACUACGUGCCAGCAGCCGCGGUGAUACGUAGGGUGCGAGCGUUGUCCGGAUUUAUUGGGCGUAAAGGGCUCGUAGGUGGUUGAUCGCGUCGGAAGUGUAAUCUUGGGGCUUAACCCUGAGCGUGCCUUCGAUACGGGUUGACUUGAGGAAGGUAGGGGAGAAUGGAAUUCCUGGUGGAGCGGUGGAACGCGCAGAUAUCAGGAGGAACACCAGUGGCGAAGGCGGUUCUCUGGGCCUUUCCUGACGCUGAGGAGCGAAAGCGUGGGGAGCGAACAGGCUUAGAUACCCUGGUAGUCCACGCUGUAAACGGUGGGUACUAGGUGUGGGGUCCAUUCCACGGGUUCCGUGCCGUAGCUAACGCUUUAAGUACCCCGCCUGGGGAGUACGGCCGCAAGGCUAAAACUCAAAGGAAUUGACGGGGCCCCGCACAAGCGGCGGAGCAUGCGGAUUAAUUCGAUGCAACGCGUAGAACCUUACCUGGGUUUGACAUGGAUCGGGAGUGCUCAGAGAUGGGUGUGCCUCUUUUGGGGUCGGUUCACAGGUGGUGCAUGGCUGUCGUCAGCUCGUGUCGUGAGAUGUUGGGUUAAGUCCCGCAACGAGCGCAACCCUUGUUCACUGUUGCCAGCACGUUAUGGUGGGGACUCAGUGGAGACCGCCGGGGUCAACUCGGAGGAAGGUGGGGAUGACGUCAAGUCAUCAUGCCCCUUAUGUCCAGGGCUUCACGCAUGCUACAAUGGCUGGUACAGAGAGUGGCGAGCCUGUGAGGGUGAGCGAAUCUCGGAAAGCCGGUCUCAGUUCGGAUUGGGGUCUGCAACUCGACCUCAUGAAGUCGGAGUCGCUAGUAAUCGCAGAUCAGCAACGCUGCGGUGAAUACGUUCCCGGGGCU